UAUCGGUAAGGAAAUCUUUCACAACUGAGUCUGUCGGUUACUAGCGUGCGAGAGAACCGGGACAGAGAAAACGAAUAGCGCGCUACGCCCGUAGAAGCCCUGUUUCAGUGUCGAAGGACCCGGGUUCAAUUCCCGGCACCUCCACCA
Molecule: transfer-messenger RNA, 147 nt
Filed under: Actinomycetota bacterium
Lineage: Bacteria; Bacillati; Actinomycetota
Description: Actinobacteria bacterium (freshwater metagenome) partial transfer-messenger RNA
Rfam family: transfer-messenger RNA
About the family: Bacterial tmRNA, also known as 10Sa RNA or SsrA, is named for its dual tRNA and mRNA-like properties. Its role is to liberate the mRNA from a stalled ribosome. To accomplish this part of the tmRNA is used as a reading frame that ends in a translation stop signal.
Source: RNAcentral